This 866-nucleotide ribosomal RNA is filed under the name Bacillus subtilis. RNAcentral's name for it is "bacterial SSU rRNA". It matches the Rfam family "Bacterial small subunit ribosomal RNA", at positions 1 to 833 of the family's 1533-position model. Lineage: Bacteria; Bacillati; Bacillota; Bacilli; Caryophanales; Bacillaceae. The record is from RNAcentral.
GAUGAACGCUGGCGGCGUGCCUAAUACAUGCAAGUCGAGCGGAGAUGAACGCUGGCGGCGUGCCUAAUACAUGCAAGUCGAGCGGACAGAUGGGAGCUUGCUCCCUGAUGUUAGCGGCGGACGGGUGAGUAACACGUGGGUAACCUGCCUGUAAGACUGGGAUAACUCCGGGAAACCGGGGCUAAUACCGGAUGGUUGUUUGAACCGCAUGGUUCAAACAUAAAAGGUGGCUUCGGCUACCACUUACAGAUGGACCCGCGGCGCAUUAGCUAGUUGGUGAGGUAACGGCUCACCAAGGCAACGAUGCGUAGCCGACCUGAGAGGGUGAUCGGCCACACUGGGACUGAGACACGGCCCAGACUCCUACGGGAGGCAGCAGUAGGGAAUCUUCCGCAAUGGACGAAAGUCUGACGGAGCAACGCCGCGUGAGUGAUGAAGGUUUUCGGAUCGUAAAGCUCUGUUGUUAGGGAAGAACAAGUACCGUUCGAAUAGGGCGGUACCUUGACGGUACCUAACCAGAAAGCCACGGCUAACUACGUGCCAGCAGCCGCGGUAAUACGUAGGUGGCAAGCGUUGUCCGGAAUUAUUGGGCGUAAAGGGCUCGCAGGCGGUUUCUUAAGUCUGAUGUGAAAGCCCCCGGCUCAACCGGGGAGGGUCAUUGGAAACUGGGGAACUUGAGUGCAGAAGAGGAGAGUGGAAUUCCACGUGUAGCGGUGAAAUGCGUAGAGAUGUGGAGGAACACCAGUGGCGAAGGCGACUCUCUGGUCUGUAACUGACGCUGAGGAGCCAAAGCUUGGGGAGCGAACAGGAUUAGAUACCCUGGUAGUCCACGCCGUAAACGAUGAGUGCUAAGUGUUAGGGGGUUU